RNAcentral lists this ribosomal RNA (473 nucleotides) under unidentified nematode Sourhope farm. RNAcentral describes it as "SSU rRNA". It matches the Rfam family "Eukaryotic small subunit ribosomal RNA", at positions 58 to 527 of the family's 1831-position model. The record is from RNAcentral. Lineage: Eukaryota; Metazoa; Nematoda.
UUUAAGUAUAACCUGCCAGACAGGGAAACUGCGUACGGCUCAUUACACCAGCCUUAAUUUACUUGACCUUGACAACCUACUUGGAUAACUGUGGUAAUUCUAGAGCUAAUACAUGCACCAAAGCUCCGAUCCUCGCGGAGAGGAGCGCAUUUGUUCGCCACAAAACCAAGCGCCCAUCUGGGCGUCCAGUGCUGAACCAGAACAACUCAGCUGAUCGCACGGUCUUGUACCGGCGACGUGUCUUUCAAGUGUCUGCCUUAUCAACUUUCGAUGGUAGUGUACCUGACUACCAUGGUUGUGACGGGUAACGGAGGAUAAGGGUUCGACUCCGGAGAAGGGGCCUGAGAAAUGGCCACUACGUCUAAGGAUGGCAGCAGGCGCGCAAAUUACCCACUCUCAACGCGAGGAGGUAGUGACGAGAAAUAACGAGACCGUUCUCAUACGAGGCCGGUUAUUGGAAUGGGUACAAUUUA